RNAcentral lists this ribosomal RNA (524 nucleotides) under uncultured bacterium. RNAcentral's name for it is "partial 16S ribosomal RNA". It matches the Rfam family "Bacterial small subunit ribosomal RNA", at positions 28 to 523 of the family's 1533-position model. The record is from RNAcentral.
GACGAACGCUGGCGGCGUGCCUAAUACAUGCAAGUCGAACGCUUCUUUCCUCCCGAGUGCUUGCACUCAAUUGGAAAGAGGAGUGGCGGACGGGUGAGUAACACGUGGGUAACCUACCCAUCAGAGGGGGAUAACACUUGGAAACAGGUGCUAAUACCGCAUAACAGUUUAUGCCGCAUGGCAUAAGAGUGAAAGGCGCUUUCGGGUGUCGCUGAUGGAUGGACCCGCGGUGCAUUAGCUAGUUGGUGAGGUAACGGCUCACCAAGGCCACGAGGCAGAGCCGACCUGGGCGGGUGAGCGGCCACACUGGGACUGCGCCACGGCCCAGACUCCUACGGGAGGCAGCAGUAGGGAAUCUUCGGCAAUGGACGGAAGUCUGACCGAGCAACGCCGCGUGAGUGAAGAAGGUUUUCGGAUCGUAAAACUCUGUUGUUAGAGAAGAACAAGGACGUUAGUAACUGAACGUCCCCUGACGGUAUCUAACCAGAAAGCCACGGCUAACUACGUGCCAGCAGCCGCCGUAA